UGCUUAUAAAAUUAGGUCAUACAAAUACAUCAUGAUGUAUAAAUGCAUUAUUUUUUUUUUCUUCCCGAAACGUUGUUAUAACACGUCUCACACCCCCUCAUGUAACUAAGUGUUCAGAAUUUCCUCAGGAAACAUUUAGUCGAGUGAGGACAUUUAAUGAUAAGAGUGUUUGUUCCGUUUGGUCCUGAGUUGUUAUGUUACCACAGGCAACAGCAAACAGCACAUGUUUUUACUGUCCCCCGGUCUGAUCUUCAUCUGAUAAUGGGUUCAGUUCAGCUGUAAAGACGGGAUGAAAGACUUUCUUUCAGUAUGAUAAAUCGAACUAUGUCUGGCAUGUGGUGAGAUGAGGGAAUGUUAACAGUUCUUUGACCAUGUUUGAAGAGGGAACCUCUUAUUCACUUCUUCAAACACAUCUGGUUAAUUAUUUCGCAUGCAUCAGAACACUUUCCAGAUUUCUCUUCCUAAAAAUAAUGAAAGGAGAUGGCAGACUGUUGAGACUGGAAUCUGGUUUCAGGAUGACCUCAUGCACCAGCAUCUGGAACACAGUCGGCGAGCGUAGCAGCCAAAGCAAACAAGGGGAAGAACUGGAACAGUCAUGCUGCUUGCGACCCAUUGGUUGAUGCGAUAUGAGGCAACUUGAGAGGCUGUGAGACUUUAAGAGAAAAAUAAUAUGGUGAUACUGAUCAUGUUUUUUGCUCCUUUAUGCUGCUUUUGCAUGCAUUUAAAAAGUUAAUUUUCUUCUAAGGCUUAUAAAAGGGUGUGGUGGAUAUGAUAAAGGCGACCAAAUUAGAAGCUGGGCUAUGACAUCACCUGCUAGUUAGCUCAAACCAUCACUUUUACUGUAAUUACUGCAUUCGAAAACCACAUAGAUGAGCGCACUUGUGCAUAUGCUCUAACCUUGGCCAACAUGGGUCAUCUGAAAUUGGUAUGGUAAUGGAAUCAACCCUGUUAUACAGCUGUUGGCAUGAUCUACAUGCUGAAGAAUGUGGUGAAAGCUUGGAAACAGGAAGCCUGUGAAGCAGCGGUAAGAAAAACAGGCGAGACGGCUGGCCAGCGGCGUAACCCUAGUACCCUUGAUCUACACUCCUAAAUACACUUUCAAAAAGAGGAAACUCAAACAAGACUACCGUCCGUCUCUAGGCAAGUGGGGUUAAUAUGGGGCCACAUUUUUAACCACCAUAUAAUUAUCCUGUUUAUAGUUGUUUAUAAUGUUUCUCUUAAAGGGACCUGACAUUAACAAUAGGUUACUUAUUACAUGACGUUCUGGAAUACUUCAUUUGGUCACGGCAUUAUGCGAUCAAAUAUUUUUUGUGCAACAGGCGGGUUCCAGAAAUUUCUCAAUUUUCUCCAUAGGGGAAUUGGUUUUUAAUGGUAACUCGUUAAAGACAGGCCUACUGUGACCUAUGGGGUUGCUAAUUGAUGGUAUAUGCUUUUGUUGAAGCCGCCAGUGUCCAUUAUUUCAACAUAUAUAUAUAUUUUUUUUUUAAAUAUUAAUGUUUAACUGUGGGAUUCCUGGUGAAAAACUACAUUACCCAUGACUCUAAAAAAUCUCCACCAAUCAGAGAAUCAAAACAAGUUAAUCACACCAAAAGAGCAUCAACCCACUCCUAUAUGAUCCUGCCCUAACAAACUACUUAAAUAUUUGUAUAUUUUUUCUAAAUACAUAAUCAACAAAUUAAUAGUUCUAUGUUUUCUCCAUUUUGAUUUGCAGUGCUUCAUGGGAUUGUAGUUCUUUCUCUAAAUAAAGCCGUUGAGUUUACGAGUUGACUUUUCUGU
Long non-coding RNA from Cyprinus carpio (common carp), 1776 nucleotides. NCBI's taxonomy places the organism in Eukaryota, Metazoa, Chordata, Actinopteri, Cypriniformes, Cyprinidae. The record is from Ensembl.